Labeo rohita (rohu) is the source of this 634-nucleotide long non-coding RNA. RefSeq lists it as uncharacterized. Lineage: Eukaryota; Metazoa; Chordata; Actinopteri; Cypriniformes; Cyprinidae. The transcript has 3 exons. The record is from RefSeq and is a predicted model, not a curated record.
GUUUACGAGGUACUGAACUGCAACAACAAGCACACUCAAGAAACAGCUAAAUCACUGGAUUUGCCGCAGUCUGUCAGUUAUCAGAUGAACGAAGGUUGGAACAACAUAAGAGCAGUGAACUGUACACCCUUCACACAUGAGAUCACAGAUUAGCAUCUAGUAGAGCCAGCAUCCGAACAUACUCUCCGGAUUAAAGUGAAAGCAGGUAUGACCCUGGCACUACAGUCGAUUGGGCACAUGGACUGGCAUGGAUGUUGGCACAGAGCUGACACAAGCGGAUAUAGUGAGGACGGGGGAGGCUCCUGGCUUUAGGAGUGACACCUGUACGAGCAUGACUGAGGGUGAGAUUGAGACAUGGGAAGGGUGCUGGGUACAUGAGCUGGCACUGUGAAAGCAGGCAGCACUCCUCUGCCUGAAGAGAUAAUCCCUCCAUAAAGUCACGUUUCAGGAACUCGGGAAGUUGACAGAUGGCACAAGCCAAGCCAAGUGAAUAUGUGUAUGUGUGCAUGUAUUUUUUAAUUGUGGUUUCAAGCCAAAACCAUGGCAAAAAUCCUACUAAAAUGUAUAAGGGUUUAUAGAAAUAAAUGUAUCAAGGGAAUUGCAGAGAGUUCAUGAGAUGAUGAAAAGUUCAUUA